CAUCUAGGCGGCCAAUCAAGUCGAAGGUGAAAACUUGUGGCUCAACCAUAAGCUUGCCUACGAAACUGAUUAACUAGAGUACUGGAGAGGUGGACGGAACUACACGAGUAGAGGUGAAAUUCGUAGAUAUGUGUAGGAAUGCCGAUGAUGAAGAUAGUUCACUGGACAGAAACUGACGCUGAAGUGCGAAAGCUAGGGGAGCAAACA
Molecule: ribosomal RNA, 207 nt
Filed under: uncultured bacterium
Lineage: Bacteria
Description: partial 16S ribosomal RNA
Rfam family: Bacterial small subunit ribosomal RNA
Source: RNAcentral